This 333-nucleotide ribosomal RNA is filed under the name uncultured Burkholderiales bacterium. RNAcentral's name for it is "bacterial SSU rRNA". It matches the Rfam family "Bacterial small subunit ribosomal RNA", at positions 8 to 343 of the family's 1533-position model. The record is from RNAcentral. Lineage: Bacteria; Pseudomonadati; Pseudomonadota; Betaproteobacteria; Burkholderiales.
AGAGUUUGAUCCUGGCUCAGAUUGAACGCUGGCGGCAUGCUUUACACAUGCAAGUCGAACGGCAGCGCGGGCUUCGGCCUGGCGGCGAGUGGCGAACGGGUGAGUAAUACAUCGGAACGUGCCCAGUAGUGGGGGAUAGCUCGGCGAAAGCCGGAUUAAUACCGCAUACGACCUGAGGGUGAAAGCGGGGGAUCUUCGGGCCUCGCGCUAUUGGAGCGGCCGAUGGCAGAUUAGCUAGUUGGUGGGGUAAAGGCCUACCAAGGCGACGAUCUGUAGCUGGUCUGAGAGGACGACCAGCCACACUGGGACUGAGACACGGCCCAGACUCCUACG